This 868-nucleotide long non-coding RNA is filed under the name Homo sapiens (human). RNAcentral describes it as "HSALNT0334614". The record is from RNAcentral. Lineage: Eukaryota; Metazoa; Chordata; Mammalia; Primates; Hominidae.
AGAUUCCAGUGUCCGUUGCUGUGACGACGGGAGUCACCUGAUGCCUUGUUAGACAGUUGUAAGGUUCUAUUGCUGGCCCCAGUGGGGUCGUCAGUAAACUGGAGUGAUGUCCAAACAUCAUUACAUGCUGCUCCAAUAUUAAAGCAAAGGGAUUAGCAACUUAUUGCAAGCAACCUGGAUUUGUCAUUGUGCUGUCGUUAUCCAAUUUCCAACUGCUAAUGUGACUGUAGCCUGCAGGCAGAAGGACCUACAGCCAAACUUUAAAAAAUGGGGGAGAAAAGUUCCCUCCAUUCAUCCCAGUUUUUACCAUUAUUUAAUAGCUUCCAAUACCCAGUUAGGUAUGUGAGAGAUUUUUUUUUCUGCAAUGCUUAAAUGCAGGCUAUAGGAGAAAAGUCAAGAAAAUACAGAAAUUUCCCAAUUAAGAGAUCACUCCUAUUCAUGUCAUUAUUCUUGCUUUUCGAUUCCACCAGAUCUGAAAUGUUUACCCUGUAGAAGAUGGAAUUAUUUCUAUUUGCAUGGAAAACUCAGAAAGCAAAGACAAUGAGCUCAUGAGCAACUUGAGUACAGAUAUCAGCCUUAUUCACCUUUGCAUAUGUCCUUCUGCUCCCAUAUACUCAACCAGUGCCCGAUAUACAAACCAAGAGAGAAGAAACAUCAACAUUUCCUGAAAAGUUGAACUUGUAGCUGUACUUGAAGGACUGUGAGAUAACAGAACUAAAUGUUAGAAGCAGCCUGGUUCCCUGAGUCACCACCAGGAGGGCAGCUACCAGGAGAGUCACCCAACCUUCUUCAGGCUGAGAUGUGAGUAAAACAAAGUUUUUCUAUUCUUAAACAACUGAGAUUUGGAGAUUAUUUGUUAAUUGGAGUA